CAUAUAAACCCAACUUUAUAAAGAACCAGUCAGGAGUAACAGAGGCUUGUCACCCAGUGAUGAGUGGGUUAUUCUUUCCUCUCUCUGCCAAAGAGCUCCCUCUAACUAUCAGAUAUGGAAUGAGGAGAGGGACAAAUGUACAGUUAUUACACAGGAGUGAAAAAUUCUGGAUGAAAUGAAACCCAGGAGGAAACAAUAAAGGAGCAGCUGCUACAGGCAGUGAUAUGGACAUCAAACAGAGCAGGAG
Long non-coding RNA from Saccostrea cuccullata (small rock oyster), 247 nucleotides. RefSeq lists it as uncharacterized. The record is from RefSeq and is a predicted model, not a curated record. The transcript is spliced from 3 exons. Lineage: Eukaryota; Metazoa; Mollusca; Bivalvia; Ostreida; Ostreidae.